This 402-nucleotide ribosomal RNA is filed under the name uncultured bacterium. RNAcentral describes it as "bacterial SSU rRNA". It matches the Rfam family "Bacterial small subunit ribosomal RNA", at positions 1 to 401 of the family's 1533-position model. The record is from RNAcentral.
GAACGAUAGAGUUUGAUCAUGGCUCAGGACGAACGCUGGCGGCGUGCUUAACACAUGCAAGUCGAGCGGUAAGGCCCCUUCGGGGGUACACGAGCGGCGAACGGGUGAGUAACACGUGGGUGACCUGCCCUCAGCUCUGGGAUAAGCCUGGGAAACUGGGUCUAAUACCGGAUAUGACUCCAUGACGCAUGUCGUGGGGUGGAAAGCCUUGUGCGGCUGGGGAUGGGGCCCCGCGGCCUAUCAGCUUGUUGGUGGGGUGAUGGCCUACCAAGGCGACGACAGGUAGCCGGCCUGAGAGGGCGACCGGGCCACACUGGGACUGAGACACGGCCCAGACUCCUACGGGAGGCAGCAGUGGGGAAUCUUGCGCAAUGGGCGAAAGCCUGACGCAGCGACGCCGCG